RNAcentral lists this ribosomal RNA (500 nucleotides) under uncultured bacterium. RNAcentral's name for it is "partial 16S ribosomal RNA". It matches the Rfam family "Bacterial small subunit ribosomal RNA", at positions 899 to 1397 of the family's 1533-position model. The record is from RNAcentral.
ACUCAAAUGAAUUGACGGGGACCCGCACAAGCAGUGGAUCAUGUGGUUUAAUUCGAUGCUACGCGAAAAACCUUACCUACCCUUGCAUCCCAUUGACCGCUACAGAAAUGUAGCUUUGGAGCAAUCCACAGUGGAGACAGGUGUUGCAUGGCUGUCGUCAGCUCGUGUCGUGAGAUGUUAGGUUAAGUCCUUCAACGAGCGCAACCCUCAUCCUUAUUUGCCAUCGGGUUAUGCCGGGAACUAUAAGGAAACUGCCCGCGACAAGCGGGAGGAAGGUGAGGAUGAUGUCAAGUCAUCAUGGCCCUUAUGGGUAGGGCUACACACAUGAUACAAUGGUGGUUCACAGCAGGAAGCCAAGCAGCAAUGCGGAGCAAAUCCUUAAAAGCCAUCUCAGUUCAGAUCGAGGGCUGCAACUCGCCCUCGUGAAGUUGGAAUUGCUAGUAAUCGUAGAUCAGCAUGCUACGGUGAAUACGUUCUCGGGUCUUGUACACACCGCCCGU